This is a long non-coding RNA of Cyprinus carpio carpio, 1591 nucleotides long. Lineage: Eukaryota; Metazoa; Chordata; Actinopteri; Cypriniformes; Cyprinidae. The record is from Ensembl.
AAUUCAGACAGUUAAAGGAACUGUUCAUCCCAAAAUGUGUCGUUAUGUUAUUCCCAACCGGCAUUAUUUUUGUAAAACCCAUGUUAGGCACUGACGGGAUUCACCCUUCACAAUUACGGUUUUAUUUUAAAUGUUUCUUCUCAGUAUUUCUUUUUGUUUCACAGAAGAAAGAAAGACCGGUAUGGAACAAUGUGACGGAUUUGGACCAUCAGCGGACAUGCCUGGAGGAGGACAGUAGCUGUCUGCGAGCUGAGAUCCGACUUUAGACCUCUCACAUAAGUGAUCCAUCGUGCUCAACACAUGCUAGGCCUGGAUGUUCGCCAUAGUCUCCUGUGUACAACAUGCCCAUGCCAAGAUCCUGCUGCUGUACCUUUAGCCGUGACAAGUCGGCCUCUGCACCAGCUGUGCCCAUGGGGCGUCAUCAGUCGUAACAAGAGUCGGUGUGCCCGCUUCAGCGCAACCCCAUUGUGGUGUUAGAGGAUAAUAACACUCUGCUUCCUUUUGUCAGUGUGUUUUGCUGGAUGAUAAACAGAGGGGAUGAAGGACCGGCAGAGGAGCUCAGGCUCAAAGAGUGGCAUCAGCAGGUGGAGAGACAGACAUGGUGGAACCACAGGCGGAGGGUGAACCAGCUGCAGGGGAAAGCUAUGAAGUCUACGAGGUGGGCAUGCGAUUCUGCAAGGGAUAAGAUUGAAGAAAAAUAAUUCCCAGGAAGCACAGGAAGAGAUGGAGGAGGAAACAUUACAGCAAACCUCUUGCAAGGAGUUCUCAAAGAAUAAAAAUAAACUUUAAGACGAUAAACAGAGAAACCCUGCAGAAAGAAUUGAGAUCGAGACUUUUUUGACCCUUCAUUGACUUCUUUUAGGUGUUUCAAUGAGAACUUGGGAAACACUAAAUUUGGCCUCACAGAAAAAGGCCCAGGCAGAAGUCUGAAUUUUAAGAGCAGAAAUCUCCAGCCCGAAGUCUUGCUAUGUCCAGAAAGUCAUCCGUAUGGAACACCCUGAAGAGGCAAUGGACCAGCUAACAGAAGAGCUCCAAGCAGCCCUGGACAAUCUGAAGAGCCAGACGGGGAAAAUACACCAGUGCGAGGAAAAAAUUGAGAGAUUAAGAGAGAAAAUGGACAGCCACCAAAAAUGGUGCUGGCAGGCUCCGUCUUUCAGAGAGGAGUAUGAGGCAUCAGCAUAUAGCAGCCCUAAAACUGGUGGUCCAGCUGCACAGGAAGAUCCCGGAAGGGCCAAGUUCACACCGAUCAGUCUUAGUACCAUGAUGAUGGCCACAGCACAACCACAUGGACCUAAAACAACUAGAGAGGCGCUUUCAAGCCAAGAGGUUUAAUAUCAUAAAAAAUCAGUGGUGUCAGAGGACUGGGCAGAAUUAUGAAAGCAUUAUGAAAGACCAGACCAGAGCCUCAGGCAGUUCUGCACCACCCAGCUCCAGCUCACAUUUCACAGUUACUCUUGACUGGAAACCCUGUGUGAUUCCAUCCGUCUCAACUUACCGGAACUACCUACAGAGUUACAUCUCACCUUACCGCACCCCUGCCUCCAGCUGAGCCGCCCCUCUUCCUGUAGCCUCCCGACUUCUUUCUUUCUGC